RNAcentral lists this ribosomal RNA (478 nucleotides) under uncultured bacterium. RNAcentral's name for it is "bacterial SSU rRNA". It matches the Rfam family "Bacterial small subunit ribosomal RNA", at positions 24 to 518 of the family's 1533-position model. The record is from RNAcentral.
UCAGGAUGAACGCUGGCGGCACGCCUAACACAUGCAAGUCGAACGGAGUUAUGGGAGCUUGCUCCUAUAACUAGUGGCGGACGGGUGAGUAACACGUGAGCAACCUGCCUUUCAGAGAGGGAUAGCUUCUGGAAACGGAUGGUAAUACCUCAUAACAUACGGAAUCGGCAUCGUUUCUGUAUCAAAGAUUUAUCGCUGAAAGAUGGGCUCGCGUCUGAUUAGCUAGUUGGUGAGGUAACGGCCCACCAAGGCAACGAUCAGUAGCCGGACUGAGAGGUUGAACGGCCACAUUGGGACUGAGACACGGCCCAGACUCCUACGGGAGGCAGCAGUGGGGAAUAUUGCACAAUGGGCGCAAGCCUGAUGCAGCGAUGCCGCGUGAGGGAAGAAGGUUUUCGGAUUGUAAACCUCUGUCAUCGGGGACGAAAAUGACGGUACCCGAGAAGGAAGCUCCGGCUAACUACGUGCCAGCCGCGGC